AAAUUUGAACUCCUCGCCGUUGAUUUACCGGCGGCAUUCGUUUUACUCGACGUCGUUUUUCUCUAGUUCGUCUCGGUUGAAUGCUAACUUUGCCGCAGAUGAUUUGCUGCUCGGCGAUCAAUUAGCUACCUUGGCUUCCAAAGCGGAGACGUCUCAGAAUCUACUUCAGCCUGGUGUCGUUGUCUAUGACGGCGUUUGUCAUCUCUGUCACAACGGUGUGAAAUGGGUGAUUAAAGCUGACAGGGAUAAGAAAAUCAAGUUCUGUUGCUUGCAGUCAAAGGCUGCUGAACCUUACAUGAGUGUGUGUGAUCUUGAUCGAGAUGACGUUCGUCGUCGCUUCUUAUUCAUUGAAGGCCCAGGUUUAU
RNAcentral lists this unclassified non-coding RNA (365 nucleotides) under Hevea brasiliensis (rubber tree). Lineage: Eukaryota; Viridiplantae; Streptophyta; Magnoliopsida; Malpighiales; Euphorbiaceae. The record is from RNAcentral.